GUGGUCUUGUAAUGCUAGUGGGCAAAAAGCAAAGGGAUGUCAGCAAUCCAGCCUAUGUUUGUUGAAUGCAUUUGAGUCAGGUCCUAGGCUGGGCAUUGAGCGAGGGAGUCAGGAGAAGGAGCAAGAUAAGCCCAAGGAAUUCAUGGUCAGGGGUCAUCAAGAAGGUAUACGCACAUCUAACUGUAAUUCCAGAUGCAGUCUGACCUGAGCCACGAAGAAGUGCAGAGUCCCCAAGAGGCCAGAGAGCUCACGUCUGGUUAGAGUCAGGGUGUUUGAUGGGAAGAUGAAAGGAGGAGCUGGCAUCUGAGGAAAUCAACAUUCAAGGGGAGACCCAAUGAAGAAGAUAGUGCCAGAACUUAAUGGAGGCAGCCCAAGAGGAACGUGUACCUGGGGAAGUCAAGAGCUAUUUCUUGGACAUUUGUGCUUCUAUUCCAAACUCUUCUCUCAGAGUAGAUGACAACUCAGGAAGGAGCCAGAGAUCUUCCUCAGUUGACUUGUUCAGAAAUAUGAUUUGGGAUUCAGUCUGGCCCGAAGCCAUGCUUCCAGCCUCAUCUCCACUGUGCACUUUCCAUGGCGUUCUGUCUUGGUCCACUUGGCUUGUGUAGCUGCCUGGCCUGGGUUGUCCUCCCCACCCUUGUCUGCUUGGUGGCACUUGGCCCUGUUCUAAUUGCUUCUGCUCGGGCAGCUUCUCUCCUCCCUCCUCUGUGCUCUGAGGACACUGGACAGAUUCCU
Molecule: long non-coding RNA, 732 nt
Filed under: Pan troglodytes (chimpanzee)
Lineage: Eukaryota; Metazoa; Chordata; Mammalia; Primates; Hominidae
Description: long non-coding RNA NONPTRT011745
Source: RNAcentral